GACCGGCUGAGGGGACUAGGGGAGCGCGGUGCUUCGGUGGCGGAGGUCACGGUGGCCUCCAUCCUAAAGGGCUGCGGGCGUCCCGGACGGCGGUCCCAAGCGCUGCUCACGCUGCUCUUAAGUGAGCCCUGGACGAGGCGCGGUGGGCCCUCAUAGUCCGCGCCGGCGCCCUCGCUCCACACCGCGGCGUCCGGCCCUGGGCUCCCGCCGAUGUCCGCGUGGGACUUUUAGGGGAUUUGUUUAUUUUUGUACGUUAACCACACUAGAAACGGCCCCAGAAUGGGCUGAAACGUGUGCUGCUGAAGCUGCCACCUAAACUCCCGAGAGAAGCGCCGUUUCUCCUCCAUGGCUUCUCGCCGACGCCCUCGCUGCGGCCUUCCGGGCCCCUCGGUUGAUAAAAGGACUAAAUAGUGACGGACAUUUUUAAGGCUACUUAAGAAAUGGCAAAAAUACAUUUAGAGACCAGAAGACGGGAAACCGUGACUGCCGCACCCUUCCCUGAAGCAGGCACUGCCCGUCGUCCAUCAAACG
This 531-nucleotide long non-coding RNA is filed under the name Homo sapiens (human). RNAcentral's name for it is "non-protein coding lnc-FAM207A-12:2". The record is from RNAcentral. Lineage: Eukaryota; Metazoa; Chordata; Mammalia; Primates; Hominidae.